Molecule: ribosomal RNA, 468 nt
Filed under: uncultured bacterium
Lineage: Bacteria
Description: partial 16S ribosomal RNA
Rfam family: Bacterial small subunit ribosomal RNA
Source: RNAcentral
GACGAACGCUGGCGGCGUGCUUAACACAUGCAAGUCGAACGGAAAGGCCCUGCUUUUGUGGGGUGCUCGAGUGGCGAACGGGUGAGUAACACGUGAGUAACCUGCCCUUGACUUUGGGAUAACUUCAGGAAACUGGUGCUAAUACCGGAUAGUAGCUCCUGCUGCAUGGUGGUGGUUGGAAAGUUUCGGCGGUUGGGGAUGGACUCGCGGCUUAUCAGCUUGUUGGUGGGGUAGUGGCUUACCAAGGCUUUGACGGGUAGCCGGCAUGAGAGGGUGACCGGCCACAUUGGGAAUGAGAUACGGCCCAGACUCCUACGGGAGGCAGCAGUGGGGAAUAUUGCACAAUGGGCGGAAGCCUGAUGCAGCAACGCCGCGUGCGGGAUGACGGCCUUCGGGUUGUAAACCGCUUUCGCCUGUGACGAAGCGUGAGUGACGGUAAUGGGUAAAGAAGCACCGGCUAACUACGUG